UGGGGAAUUUUGGACAAUGGGGGAAACCCUGAUCCAGCCAUCCCGCGUGUGCGAUGAAGGCCUUCGGGUUGUAAAGCACUUUUGGCAGGAAAGAAACGUCAUGGGUUAAUACCCCGUGAAACUGACGGUACCUGCAGAAUAAGCACCGGCUAACUACGUGCCAGCAGCCGCGGUAAUACGUAGGGUGCAAGCGUUAAUCGGAAUUACUGGGCGUAAAGCGUGCGCAGGCGGUUCGGAAAGAAAGAUGUGAAAUCCCAGAGCUCAACUUUGGAACUGCAUUUUUAACUACCGGGCUAGAGUGUGUCAGAGGCAGGUGGAAUUCCGCGUGUAGCAGUGCACUGCGUAGAUAUGCGGAGGAACACCGAUGGCGAAGGCAGCCUCCUGGGAUAACACUGACGCUCAUGCACGAAAGCGUGGGGAGCAAACAGG
This 429-nucleotide ribosomal RNA is filed under the name Acidobacteriota bacterium. Its description in RNAcentral is "Acidobacteria bacterium partial 16S ribosomal RNA". It matches the Rfam family "Bacterial small subunit ribosomal RNA", at positions 355 to 776 of the family's 1533-position model. Lineage: Bacteria; Pseudomonadati; Acidobacteriota. The record is from RNAcentral.